RNAcentral lists this ribosomal RNA (230 nucleotides) under uncultured bacterium. RNAcentral describes it as "partial 16S ribosomal RNA". It matches the Rfam family "Bacterial small subunit ribosomal RNA", at positions 562 to 791 of the family's 1533-position model. The record is from RNAcentral.
AAAGCGUGCGCAGGCGGUUAUACAAGACAGGCGUGAAAUCCCCGGGCUUAACCUGGGAAUGGCGUCUGUGACUGUAUGACUAGAGUGUGUCAGAGGGGGGUAGAAUUCCACGUGUAGCAGUGAAAUGCGUAGAUAUGUGGAGGAAUACCAAUGGCGAAGGCAGCCCCCUGGGAUAACACUGACGCUCAUGCACGAAAGCGUGGGGAGCAAACAGGAUUAGAUACCCCGGU